RNAcentral lists this ribosomal RNA (1222 nucleotides) under metagenome. RNAcentral describes it as "bacterial LSU rRNA". It matches the Rfam family "Bacterial large subunit ribosomal RNA", at positions 1576 to 2808 of the family's 2925-position model. The record is from RNAcentral.
GCUAAGGCGUUGAAGCAGUGUAUGUCAGACUUCCAAGAAAAGCUCGCAAUGUCACAAAUAAAAAUGCCUGUACCAUAACCGACACAGGUGGGUAGGUAGAGUAUACUAAGGGGCGCGAGAUAACUCUCUCUAAGGAACUCGGCAAAAUGACUCCGUAACUUCGGGAGAAGGAGUGCCUUAUUUAUAAGGUUGCAAUAACAAGAUCCAAGCAACUGUUUAUCAAAAACACAGGUCUCCGCUAAGUCGUAAGACGAUGUAUGGGGGCUGACGCCUGCCCAGUGCCAGAAGGUUAAAGAAGUUGGUUAGUGUAUGCGAAGCUGAUGACUGAAGCCCUGGUGAACGGCGGCCGUAACAAUAACGGUCCUAAGGUAGCGAAAUUCCUUGUCGGGUAAGUUCCGACCCGCACGAAAGGCGUAAUGAUUUGGAUACUGUCUCGGAGAGAGGCUCGGUGAAAUAGACUUGUCUGUGAAGAUGCGGACUACCUGCACCAGGACAGAAAGACCCUAUGAAGCUUUACUGUAACUUGAAAUUGGAAUUGGACUUUGCUUGCGCAGUAUAGGUGGGAAGCGUUGAAAAUAUUCUUGCGGGAGUAUUGGAGCUAUCAGUGAGAUACCACUCUUGUAAUGUUAGAUUUCUAACUUUGAACCAUAAUCUGGUCAAAGAACAGUUUCAGGUGGGCAGUUUGACUGGGGCGGUCGCCUCCCAAAUGGUAACGGAGGCGUACAAAGGUUUCCUCUGAACGGAUAGAAAUCGUAUCUAGAGUGUAAAGGCAUAAGGAAGCUUGACUGUGAGACCUACAAGUCGAGCAGGGACGAAAGUCGGUCUUAGUGAUCUGACGGUACUGAGUGGAAAGGCCGUCACUCAACGGAUAAAAGUUACUCUAGGGAUAACAGGCUGAUCUCCCCCAAGAGUUCACAUCGACGGGGAGGUUUGGCACCUCGAUGUCGGCUCAUCGCAUCCUGGGGCGGUAGUACGUCCCAAGGGUUGGGCUGUUCGCCCAUGAAAGCGGUACGCGAGCUGGGUUCAGAACGUCGUGAGACAGUUCGGUCCAUAUCCGGUGUAGGCGCUAGAAUAUUGAGAGGAGCCUUCUUUAGUACGAGAGGACCGAGAAGGACACACCGCUGGUGUACCAGUUAUCGUGCCAACGGUAAACGCUGGGUAGCUAUGUGUGGAGUGGAUAACCGCUGAAAGCAUCUAAGUGGGAAGCCCACCUCGAGAUGAG